This 497-nucleotide ribosomal RNA is filed under the name uncultured bacterium. Its description in RNAcentral is "partial 16S ribosomal RNA". It matches the Rfam family "Bacterial small subunit ribosomal RNA", at positions 28 to 507 of the family's 1533-position model. The record is from RNAcentral.
GAUGAACGCUGGCGGCGUGCCUAAUACAUGCCAGUCGAGCGAACGGACGAGAAGCUUGCUUCUCUGAUGUUAGCGGCGGACGGGUGAGUAACACGUGGAUAACCUACCUAUAAGACUGGGAUAACUUCGGGAAACCGGAGCUAAUACCGGAUAAUAUUUUGAACCGCAUGGUUCAAAAGUGAAAGACGGUCUUGCUGUCACUUAUAGAUGGAUCCGCGCUGCAUUAGCUAGUUGGUAAGGUAACGGCUUACCAAGGCAACGAUGCAUAGCCGACCUGAAAGGGUGAUCGGCCACCCUGGAACUGAGACAGGGUCCAGACUCCUGCGGGAGGCAGCAGUCGGGAAUCUUCCGCAAUGGGGGAGAGCCUGACAGAGCAACGCCGCGUGAGUGAUGAAGGUCUUCGGAUCGUAAAACUCUGUUAUUAGGGAGGAACAAAUGUGUAAGUACCUGUGCACAUCUUGACGGUACCUAAUCAGAAAGCCACGGCUAACUACGUG